GGAAGUGAACCAUCUCAGUACCUGAAGGAAAAGAAAACAAUAGUGAUUCUGCUAGUAGCGGCGAGCGAACGCGGAAAAGCCUAAACCGAUAGGAUUUAUCCUGUCGGGGUCGUGGGAUCAGACAUAACGGGAGAAGAAGAUUAACAAAAGUGUAUGGAAAAGCACACCAUAGAGCGUGAUAGUCGCGUAUGUGAAAAUUUUCGACUUCUAGUUUGACACCCGAGUAAUGCGGAACACGAGGAAUUCUGCAUGAAUUUGCCGGGACCAUCCGGUAAGGCUAAAUACUCCGAAGUCACCGAUAGUGAACCAGUACCGUGAGGGAAAGGUGAAAAGAACCCCAGUGAGGGGAGUGAAAUAGUACCUGAAACCGUUUGCUUACAAGCAGUAGGAGGAGCGCAAGCUCUGACUAUGUGCCUUUUGCAUAAUGAGCCGGCUAGUU
Molecule: ribosomal RNA, 439 nt
Filed under: uncultured Acidobacteriota bacterium
Lineage: Bacteria; Pseudomonadati; Acidobacteriota
Description: bacterial LSU rRNA
Rfam family: Bacterial large subunit ribosomal RNA
Source: RNAcentral